AUGGCGGAAUAUGACCUUGCAAUCCAUUAUGAGAUAAAUUUAGAACGCGAAGCGCAAUAAGAUCUCCCAUAAUACUUGGAAUGUAUCCUUCAAAUUUGUUAUUUGAAAGAUCAAUGGUUGUGUAAAUAGUCAAAAUUUGGAGAAGUUCAAGCUCCAGCCCCUUGGAUGAAACCAUAACAGAAUCAUGGUAAUAUGAAUCUCCAAGAUAUCUUGGUUCCUUCGAUGUUUGAUCAAUUGUCCUCAUGGCUUUCAGAUGUUGAAACAAACUCGUCGGCAAGUUUUUGGAAAAAUCAUUGCGAGAGAGAUCAAAGAUUCGAAGCUCAAGAAACAUGUGUUCACUUCCUGAAGUUCUAAUGGGUCCAUGCAACUUAUUCAAUCUCAAGCUUAAAACUCGAAGCUCAGGAAGAGUUCCCAACCACAUUGGAAAUGUAUCAUUCAGGAGAUUGUCUCCUAAAUCAAGAACUUCCAGUCGUUGGCAAUUUUCCAAGAAUUGUGGAAUUUUUCCCUCUAGCUUAUUUCCAUGCAAAUUGAAGCUUCUUAGUGCACUUCCAAUGCUAAAAGUUGUUGGAAGAGUACCAGAAAUAUUGUUGUGCUUCAUAUCGGUGAUUCUCAUAAAGAUACAAAUGGGACAAGUUGUUCAAAGUCCCCAAUGAAGGAGGAAUAGAACCAUUAAGAAAAUUGGUACUCAAAGCUAGUUCAGUAAGAGACCUUAGGUAACCUAUCUCUUCCAGAAUGGAACCAUUUAAAUGGUUUUCAAAUAUGUGGAAGGCCUGAAUCCUGGCUAGUGAGCCGAUUUGUGGUGGGAUUGUGCCUGAAAUCUGAUUCACGGACAAGUUAAGAUAGAUAAGAUUAGUGAGAUUACCGAUCUCAGGUGGAAUUGUGCCAGAGAGAUUGUUCAUGCUAAGAUCAACAUAUUUAAGAAAAGGGAGGGAUGAGAAUGGAAAAGCAUAGAGUGUACCAAAGACACUAGCAUUUCUAAUAUUCAACCUGUUUACCCUACCAUUAAAGCAAACAACUCCAUACCAGUCAUUGCAUGCAUCAGGACUUGGUUUCCAUGAAACCAAUAAGGAAUUAUUCUGGUUCUUGAAAGUUGCUUUCCAUUUUAGGAGAGCCGUUGCUUCCUCAGUUGAAGCAAAAGUAAUUGUAAAGAGAGUGAAAAACUGAAGUAAAGAGAAUAAUAUUUUCGAAACCAUCAUCAUGUACUGUUAACGAAUUUGAGUUGAUAAUUUUUGUUGUUGAUGGAUGAAAUUGAUGCAGGGUAUACUAUUUAUAUUGUAAUAAACCAAUAAAAGCCUUACGUGUAAACUAAGGCGUAGAAUCAGAAUGACUUUUAAGUCAAUGAGUCUUCAUAUUACUGUGUAAAUCACGGAAAGCACAAUCACUAAUUAUUCUUUGUGGUCGGUCCACUAGAAUAUCGUUGUUGAAAUGUAUGACUCGUUAUGUAUUUUUUUCUUAGAUAGUUGUCCCACAAGAUAAUUAAGAAUGUUUUUCUUAGGUAGUCAUCUUUACAAAUUGGGAGAAAAUUAUUUUUUUAAAGUUCUUUUAAUUGUUGGGUGUGAGAACUAAUGUCUCACAUUGGUAGCUAAAAGGAUUGGAAAGCUAUAUAUAAGGUGUAGGAUCUCUUAAUGGUAUGAGGCUUUCUGGGGAAAAUCGUGCGGGUUUAAUCCAAGGGGACAAUAUCACACCAUCUAAGGGUUUCUUUUGGCUGGUUUAGUCCAACAACUGGCAUCAAAACUCUGGUUCAGUAGGAUGAGUAGGAAGAUGUGGCGGAGAUGCAUACACAAGAAGAAGCUAGUUGCAGACCUCGAUAUCCAUAAAAAUACUGAAACGAUGUCGGUGGAAAUAAUAAAUCUCGCUGACCGUGGAUCGUGAUGAUGGUGAUGAGCCAUGUGGAAUUUAGUUCAAGGUGGAGAUUGUUGGGCAUGUGAACAAAAGUCCUUCAUUGAUAGCUAAAAAGAUUGAGAAGCUACAUAAAGGGGUAACUUUACUAGUUACUUCAACUCCCCUUCUGUUUAAGUGAGUAUUGGUCUAAAUAUGUUGUUUCCAUUCGCAAAGUCAUUAGUAUCUUCCUCCAUCGAUUCAACUCUUCUCAAUGCUCUUUCUAAUAUUAAAAGUCAUCGGAAGAGUCCCUGAAAGACUUGUGGUGCAUAUCCAGAACCUCGAGGACACUGAUGUUACCCAAACACUGUGGAAUUGCUCCCUUCAAGUUAGUUUCUUGCCAAAUCUAGGAUUACCAGUGAUGCCAAAUUGCAAAUUGAUGACGAAAUUUCUUCAUUGAGAUUAUUUUGGUUGCGAGAAUUAAGGAAACACCUCCACAAAUUCAUUAUAUUUUUCCAUGGAAAUGUAAAAUGAAAGGGAAAAAUGUUUUCUUCAAAUGUUGCAAAUUCAGCUGCCAUCUCUAUAAUUCACACUUUGUGUUAUAAACCAAAUGGGAGAGCCCAACCCAAAAGACUAGCUUAGUAGGUGAGAGCACCCAUUGGCUUAUAACCAAGUAGCAUUUCUCUUUUUUUCCAAUGUGGGACAUUGGUUCAUUACAAUUGCCUCCGCUUGAGAACCAAUAACCUCGUUGGUCAUGACUAUGCCCAGUUGGUCACGGCUAGCACCUCUCUUGGGUCCAGGCCACACUACUGGCACACAGUCCACCACUCCGAGACAUAUGUGGUUUGUUCCUCGUUGGUCACGGCUAUGCCCAGUUGGUCACGACUGGCACCCCUCGGGUCCAGGCCACCACUACUGGCACAUAGGCCACCACUCCGAGUCACGGCCCCCACGCAUGGGACUCUCAAUGAAAGCACCAAUGUUAUAAACCAAACGGGAGAGCCCAACCGAAAAGACUAGCCUUGUAGGUGGGAGAACCCAUUGAUUUAUAACCCCCUUAGCAUUUCUCUUUUUUUCCAAUGUGGGACAUUGGUUCAUUACACUUUGUCUCUAUUCAUAUCUUAUCACAGAAACUGUUGUCAUUAUCAAGUCAAAUUUGGAUAGUUCUGUAUAUUUAUUUUUCAAAAAAUGUGUUGCACAUCUACAUUUUCCCCCAAGAUAACAAAACUAUCAUACACAAAAUAAUUACUUCUCUCAAAAAUAAAACAAGCUUAAAAAGUAGAGAAUCAUAUGUUGUGCUACUAUUAUAUUUUCUACGACAGACGUCCUUUUAAUUUGAAUUGUCAGUUCAGGUGAAAGUAUUUUUCACUCUAAUAGCUAAAUAUCAUUCAACUUCUAUUCUCUUCACUUUAAGUUUAAUUUUUGAUUUUGACGUGACAACUUCAAUGUACUCAAGACUUGGUUUACAUUUCAGUCUUCCUCUUCCUCUUUAACUUUUAAGAAAAAAAUUGGUGUUACUCCUCAAAGUAAAAAAGGAAAAUAAAAAUUCAAGUUUUAGUAGUGCUACAGUAUCAAUGAAUGAGGGAUUUUUCCAAGUUACAUCUAUUUGUUCUUUUGCUGAUGCGAUUUCUUUUGUCGAAACCAUUUUCUUUCCCUUUGUAAGGGAGUCCCUCUUGGAUUCUUCACCUACACUUUUGAAGACGGAAUACUAAAGAGAAGACAAGUUUUGAUUCAUAAUAUUUUCUUGUUGUAAUUCGUAACGGAUCAGUUACUUAGUGAGCUCUAUUCUGUUUGCGAAACAAAUAUGGUUUGAAACUAUGAAUUAAAUGGCUUAUGUAACGAGACAUUCAAAGUUGAGCAUAUGAACUUGAAAAAUAUAGUAAGUUAAUAAAGCUUAAGUUGAUUAAUACAAACUAAAGAAGAACAAAUGUAGAUGCAGACAUCUCUUAAAAUAAAGCUUAUUAGUGAAACACAACAGUAACCAACUGCACUGCACCAACGUCUUCUUAUCCUUGACAUCUGAAAUUUGAAAAAUAAGAUAGUGAGCGUCAAACACUUAUCAAUAAGAAAAAUAUACUUAUCAAGCAUAUGCCAUGAUUAUCCAAGAUGAAAUCCAGCAAGUAGCAGCAGCAACUUAACAGAUGAAGCAACUGAUAAAGUUGAAACCAUGGCUAUUCACACAAGUUCCAUGAGUUCACAGGCAAGAAGAGGUAAAGGAUUUAGAGGAAGGCAGCAGCAGUGUGAUUUUUGUAGAAUGAAAGGCCACACAAAGGAAAACUGCUACAAGCUUGUUGGAUAUCCACCUGGUUUUCAAAAUAGGAAGUUUUCUGGAAGUGGAGGAUUUGGUGUUGGUAAUUCUGAUGGAUGGAGAAGAAAUGCAUGCACUUCUGAUAACUGGAGAAAAGAGCAACCACCCACAGUGAAUAACACUAAUGUAGCAUCUACAUCUAGGAUUAAUGGAGAAGUUUCAUCUUCUCGGUGCAACACCGGAUUUCAGUCAGAAAAACAGUUUUACAACCCCUUUUCUGAUGAACGAUACAAACAGAUCUUUAAGUUUGCUGAACAAGGAUUCAGGAGAGCAUCAUGUCAACAUGGCAGGUAUUGUAACUUUCUUGAUGUCUCAUUUUCUUUCUAAAACUGAAUGGGUCAUUGAUUCUGGAGCCACACAUCAUGUUACUACAAAUCUACAAUUGUUGAAGGAUAGGGUCAAUCUAGAUGCCUCUAAAAGAGAUAAGUGCAUUUACCUACAGGAGAGAAAACUGAAAUUACUCACACAAGAAGUGCCAACUUAUUUGGGAAUGAAAAAAUGAAGGGUGUGUUAUUUGUUCCCGAGUUUAGAUUUAACCUUUUAUCAGUGUCAAAAGUGACUAAAGAGCUGUCUUGCUUUUUCAUCUUUUUCCCUGAUUUCUGUGUGUUUCAGGACCUCUACAAUGGCAGGGUGAAGGGGAUUGGUAAAGAGCAAGGAGGCUUGUAUGUGAUUGAUGGAGAUUCAGUGGAAUCUAUGGUAACAAAUAAGAUGAAAACAACAUGUAUGACUAAUAGUGAUGCCGAUUACAGUUUAUGGCAUAAGAGAUUGGGACAUCCAUCAUCCACAAUAAUGAAGAAGAUUCCAGAGUUAAAUAAGUCUUCUAGCACUACUUUAGAAAAGGAUUGUCAUAUUUUCCCCUUGGCAAAACAAACUAGGCUACAAUUUCCACUUAGCGAAACUAGAGCAGAUUUUCCAUUUCAGCUUGUACAUAUGGAUCUCGGGGGUCCAUAUAAGGUCCCGACUUAUGAUAAGAAAUACUAUUUAUUAACUGUUGUGGAUGAUCAUUCUAGAUUUACUUGGAUUUAGUUGUUGCAAUUAAAGUCUGAGGUGAUUGUUGUGCUUAGACAGUUUUUAGCCAUGAUAAAAAAUCAGUUUGGCAUGAUAAUCUAGGUUUUGAGGUCUGAUAAUGGUGCGGAGUUCGUUAAUUCUAAGUGUAAAGAAUUGUUGUUUUCUCUUGGCAUUGAGAAUCAAAGUAGUUGCCCUUAUACUCCCCAGCAAAAUGGGAUUGUGGAGAGAAAGCACAGGUAGAUUUUAAACAUUGCUAGAGCCUUGAGGUUUCAGGCUAUGAUACCUCUUAGAUACUGGGGAUUAUGUGUCAAGGCUGCAGUUUAUUUGAUGAACAGGUUGCCUUCAGUUACACUAGCUGGACAUACACCAUAUGAACUACUGUUUCAUAAGAAACCUUCCAUCACUCAUUUAAAAGUCUUUGGUAGCCUUUCUUAUGCAACAAAUUUGUUGAAAAAAGACAAGUUUGGACCAAGAUCAAGAUCUGCGGUGCUACUUGGUUUUUCAGAACUGCAGAAAGGUUACAUAUUGGUUGACUUAAUUACUAAAGAUAUAUUUGUCAGCCGAGAUGUGGUUUUCAGGGAAAAUAUAUUCCUUUUUAGUUCACCAGAGUCACUACAGCACUAUCAUCAUAACCUAAGGUUAUGCAUCCAGCUUGUCUUAGUGAUACAGGUAUGGAUUCACUUCACACUUUGUCGUCUUCACCUUUGGAUUAUGCAAGUGACACUGAUAUGGUUCCUGAAGUGCAAGCACCAGCAAAUCCUGCACCUCCAGUUAGUAUUACCACUGAUAUUGCUCCUGAUUCUAAUAUUGAUACUAAAAGAAGAUCAACCAGGACCUCUAAAGAACCCCUUUGGAUGAAAGACUAUGUUGGCAGGCCCAAAGCACAAUGCAAUAAUGUUCUAUAUCCUUUAUCUGACUAUUUGUCUUAUGCUAAUACCUUUAUCUAGCCGAUUUCUCAUCUUUGGUAGAACCUCAAGGCUUUAGUGAGGCCGUAAAGGAUAAGAGAUGGGUUGAUUCCAUGAAGGUUGAGAUCAAAUCACUUGAAGAUAACAAGACUUGGGAAAUUGUAGACCUGCCCACCGGGAAGAAUAUAGUAGGCUCAAAAUGGGUUUACAAGGUUAAAUUUCAAGAAAAUGGAGAAGUGGAGAGAUUCAAGGCUAGAUUGGUAGCCAAAGGUUAUAGUCAGAGGGAAGGUCUAGAUUAUCAUAAGACCUUUUCACCUAUAGCCAAGAUGGUUAUAGUCAGGUCAAUUAUCGCUCUUGCAGCAUCAGAAGGUUGGAAACUCUUUCAAAUGGAUAUGUUUAAUGCCUUUCUUCAAGGUGACUUAUGUGAAGAAGUAUUCAUGGAAAUUCCUGAAGGUUUCAGAAGACAGGGGGAGACUAAAGUGUGUAGGCUAUUAAAAUCUUUAUAUGGACUUAAACAAGCAUCCAGGCAGUGGAAUAUUAAAUUGACCGAAGCACUGAUACAAGCUGUUUUUACUCAAAGCAAUUAUGACUAUUCCUUAUUUACUAAGAAGGAAGGAGAAGAUAUAGUAAUCACCUUAGUUUAUGUAGAUUAUUUACUAAUCACUGGAAGUUGUAACAAGAUGAUAAACUCAGUGAAGAUGCAAUACAUCAACAUUUCAAAGUAAAAGACUUAGGAGAACUGAAAUUUUUCUUGGGAAUUGAAGUGUUGAGAUCCAAGACUGGAAUAUUGUUGAAUCAAAGAAAGUAUGUGUUAGAGCUAAUUUCAGAGUUGGGUCUUGGUGGAGUAAAACCUGCAGCAACACCUUUAGAAACUAAUAUCAGACUCACUAGUGUAGAAUUUGAUGAAGCAACAGGAGAGCAAAGUGAUGACUUAUUGUCAGACAUAGGAGCAUAUCAAAGGUUAAUGGGAAAACUUUUGUAUGUGACCAUAACAAGACUAGAUAUAAGCCCCACUGUACAGACCUUGAGUCAAUUCAUGCAAAGGAAAAAACAAUCUCAUCGGGAUUUAACUAUCAGAGUGGUGAAGUAUUUUAAGUUAGCAUCAGGACAAGGGAUCCUUAUUAGUGCAUCUACUAGUCAAGAACUUACAUGCUGGUGUGAUUCAGAUUGGGCAGCUUGUCCAAAUACUAGAAGGUCUAUGACAGGAUACUUGAUCAAAUUUAGGGACUCACUAGUGUCAUGGAAGUCAUAAAAGCAACAGACAGUCUCAAGAAGUUCUGCAGAGGCAAAGUAUAGGAGCAUGGCAUCAGCAGUGGCUGAAGUUACAUGGUUGCUAGGUUGAUAUCAAGAAAUAGUAAUCAAGGUGAAACAACCAGUGAAGAUUAUGAGUGACAGUAAGUCUGCAAUACAGAUUGCAUCUAAUCCAAUCUUUCAUAAAAGGACUAAACACAUUGAAAUUGAUUGUCAUUUCAUUAGAGACAAAAUCAAGGAUGGACUCAUUGAAGCUAUGUUUGUAAAGACUGAAGAACAAUAGGCAGAUCUAUUAACCAAAGGGUUAAGUAAAGCACAACACUCAUAUUUGAUGAGCAAGCUUGGAGUGUUCAAUAUCUUACAUCCUCCAGCUUGAGGGGGAGUGUUGAGAUUAGGCUUAACAGAUGAUGCUUAGAUAGUUAGUCUAUGUGAUCAAUUACUGGUAGAAUGUACAGCUGGCAAGGAAUGUACAGCUUUCAAGGUAGUUAGUUAUAGUCUACAGCUGGAAGCAGUUAGUGGAGUUAUUGUUUAGUGUGCAUAUAUAAUGCUGUGUAACAGAACCAACCAGAGAACUCAUUCUUCUUUUCAUCUAAUAAAAAAAUAUCUUCUCCAAUAUUUCUCUCUCUAGAUUGAUCUCCGUUGAUGAACUUAUGGAAACAUUCAUGAAGCUCUUAGCCUAGAUUUCUACAUGUAUGACUCCUUGAAGCCCGUUCUCUUGACUGGAGGACUACAGGUUAGCGUUUGUCUGUUUUUGUGCUUUUGCUUUUUAUUGGUUUACGUGGAUUUUGAUAAUAUCAUUGGCUCAACAAUUUCACUUGGCUUAUUUUGAUGUUUACGAGAUAGUUUUUUUGCUAGCUUUGCUCUCGGGUGGCUGAUUACCAACAGUGCCGGUCUUGCCUCAUACCCAAUUGACACAGUCCGAAGAAGAAUGAUGAUGACCUCCGGUGAAACUGUCAAGUGCAAGAGCUCACUUGACGCAUUCUCCCAGAUUCUUAAGAACGAGGGUCCCAAAUCUCUUUUCAAAGGAAAUGGUGCUGACAUCCUUCCUGCCGUUGCUGGUGCUGAUGUGUUGGCUGGAUAUGAUAAACUUCAGAUGAUCGUUUUUGGAAAGAAAUACGGCUCUGGCGCUGCCUAAAUUCAGACCACAUAUAGCAUCCUUUAGGAUUAGCUAUUGAUGAAAAUCUAUCUGCAGUGCAAUAUGAGGAUUCUUUUGGAAAGGCGUUUUACAUUUUUUCCUCUUUUUCGUUUUUGAAUAAUUUGAAAAAAUUUCGAGAUCUUUAUGCAGAGGUUAUAUAUUGUCAUACUCAAAACUUUUGAUAUAAUUAAAAGAGACGGAUUUGACUACAUCUACUUGUACUUUUGCUGAUGUGAUUUCUUUUGACAACAACAUUUCUUUCCUUUUGUAUGUGAGUCCCUCUUAGAUUCUUCGCAUACUCUUGUGAAGAUGGGAUAUUCAAGAGAGUUCAUGUUUUGAUUCGUAAUUUUUCCCUGAUCUAAUUCGUGACAUAUCAGUUACUUGAUGAGCUAUAAGCGUAUUUCUAUUUGCGAAACAAAUAUGGUUUGAAAUUAGAAUCAUAUUUGAGCAUAUGAACUUGAAAAAUAUAUUAAGUUAAUAAAGCUUAAGUAGAUUAAGACAAACUAAAGUAGAACAAAUGUAGAAGCAGACAUCUCUCUAAAUAAAGCUUAAUAGUAUGCAAUUCCACUACGCUAUGUCUUCUUAUCCUUGACAUCUGAAAAUUGAAAACUAAGAUAGUGAGCGUUAAACACUUAUCAAUAAGAAAAAUUUGCUUCGGAGAGAGUAUCUAUUAGUUGUUGUUAUUAAAAAAAACUUGAAAACUAAUAUAUUAGUGUAGAACUUAUCUUGAAUACCUGUAAGUUCCUGAAAUCAAAUCUUUCUCCAUUGCUGAAUUGUCUAGAAGCGAUUAUUUCUUCUUCUGUAGUUCCUUUGCCUUCGCUGCUUCUUUCUCCUUGCCAUCAUAAUUGUGUGUCCCAGCUCUUCAACGAUUCUUUCAAGCCAUUUCAUAUUCCCAGUUGAGAUCAAGAUAUAUAUUAUGGAUAGUCCAAUACAUAGUUCGGUUCCAUACCCCAUAAGAGCGCCUUUCCAAAAAUCGUUGAGAAAUUCAGAGUUGCUUUCUUGAUUAUUUAGCACAGAUGUGGUGUAAUUUGUCUCGGAAACUAUAUCAGUACCACAACCUUUUGAAAGUGGGAAUCCACGUAAUCCAUCAUUAUCUUUGUAUGAAUUGUUCUCAAAUGUAGCAAAUUGAGGUCCUCUAGGGAUGCAUCCUUCAAGAUUAUUGUGGAAGAGAUUGAAAAAUUCAAGAGUCGUAAGAGAAGCAAUUUGUUUUCGUAUCUCUCCAGAGAGAUGGUUAAAUGAAAGGUCCAAUGAUUCAACCAAGGAUAAAUUUCCAAAUGAUGGUGGAAUAUGACCUUGCAAUCCAUUAUGAGACAAAUUCAAAACUCGGAGCGUGAUGAGAUCUCCCAUAAUACAAGGAAUAUGUCCUUCAAAUUUGUUGUUUGAAAGAUCGAUAGUUGUAUACAAAGACAAGAUUCUCACAACUUCAAGCUCCAAUCCCUUUGUUACGACAUCUACCGAGUCUUGGUAAUGUUGAUGAAGCUCAUAACUUGAUGCAUUUGUUUUUUUUAUCAAUUGUCCUCAUGGCUUUCAAAUGUUGAAACAAACUAUCGGCAAGUUUUUGGAAAAAUCAUUGCAAGAGAGAUCUAAGAUUUGAAGCUCAAGAAACAUGUAUUCACUUCCUGAAGUUCUAAUGGGUCCAUGCAACUUAUUCGACUUCAAGCUUAAAACUCGCAACUCGGGAAGAG
This 10110-nucleotide long non-coding RNA is filed under the name Capsicum annuum. RNAcentral describes it as "long non-coding RNA (CANN_LNC021062)". The record is from RNAcentral. Lineage: Eukaryota; Viridiplantae; Streptophyta; Magnoliopsida; Solanales; Solanaceae.